AGUAACACUUGGGAAUCUGGCUUAUGGAGGGGGAUAACUGUGGGAAACUGCAGCUAAUACCGCGUAUAAUCGAGAGAUGAAAGGGUGGGACCGUAAGGCCACUUGCCAUAAGAUGAGCCCAAGUGGGAUUAGGUAGUUGGUGGGGUAAAGGCCUACCAAGCCUGCGAUCUCUAGCUGGUCUGAGAGGAUGGCCAGCCACACUGGGACUGAGACACGGCCCAGACUCCUACGGGAGGCAGCAGUGGGGAAUAUUGCGCAAUGGGGGGAACCCUGACGCAGCCAUGCCGCGUGAAUGAAGAAGGCCUUCGGGUUGUAAAGUUCUUUCGGUGAUGAGGAAGGGGUAUUAUUGAAUAGAUAAUAUCAUUGACGUUAAUUACAGAAGAAGCACCGGCUAACUCCGUGCCAGCAGCCGCGGUAAUACGGAGGGUGCGAGCGUUAAUCGGAAUAACUGGGCGUAAAGGGCACGCAGGCGGACUUUUAAGUGAGAUGUGAAAUCCCCGAGCUUAACUUGGGAACUGCAUUUCAGACUGGGAGUCUAGAGUACUUUAGGGAGGGGUAGAAUUCCACGUGUAGCGGUGAAAUG
This 583-nucleotide ribosomal RNA is filed under the name Pasteurella canis. RNAcentral's name for it is "bacterial SSU rRNA". It matches the Rfam family "Bacterial small subunit ribosomal RNA", at positions 109 to 688 of the family's 1533-position model. The record is from RNAcentral. Lineage: Bacteria; Pseudomonadati; Pseudomonadota; Gammaproteobacteria; Pasteurellales; Pasteurellaceae.